UCCGCGGUGGCGCAGUGGUAGCGCAGGCGCCUGUUAAGCGCUUGGUCGUAGGUUCGAAUCCUACCCGCGGAGCCA
This 75-nucleotide transfer RNA is filed under the name Candidatus Nomurabacteria bacterium RIFCSPLOWO2_01_FULL_40_15. Its description in RNAcentral is "tRNA-Asn". It matches the Rfam family "tRNA". From Rfam's summary of the family: Transfer RNA (tRNA) molecules are approximately 80 nucleotides in length. Their secondary structure includes four short double-helical elements and three loops (D, anti-codon, and T loops). RNAcentral also lists the same sequence under 1 other name. Lineage: Bacteria; Candidatus Nomuraibacteriota. The record is from RNAcentral.